GCCCAGGGAGCUACGGCGGUUCGCUGCGCCCGCUAGCACUCUUCUCCAUGAACUAGACAACUCACGCUUGAUAUCCCGGGAAAAUUAAGCGAAUUGGCACGUGGAGAAAGGGUUUAGUCUUUCGGUGGUACGAAAUCAAAUUGCGUUGGCUGGUGACUCCUGCUGAGACCAUGUCAACCUCUCAGCUGACAUCUUGUGACACAUUCGUGGCACUGCCACCAGCAACCAAACGAGGCUUUGUGGUGUUUGGGAAGAACUCUGACCGACCUCAGGGUGAAGUUCAAGAAGUUGUUCACUUCCCUGCUGCCUCCCAUGAGCCAGGCAGCAAAGUUCAAUGCACGUACAUCUCGGUGGAUCAGGCGGAGAGCACACACGCGGUAAUCCUGAGCCGGCCCGCUUGGAUGUGGGGUGCAGAGAUGGGGGCCAACGAGCACGGCCUGUGCGCCGGCAACGAGGCCGUCUGGACCCGGCUCGAGUCCGACGACGACCGCACGGAGCGGCUGCUUGGUAUGGACCUGGUCAGGCUGGCGCUGGAGCGGGCGGCGACGGCGCGGGAGGCGGUCGACGUCAUCACCGGCCUGCUAGCCUCGCAUGGCCAAGGCGGCCCGUGCUCGGACACGGACGCCUCCCUGCUCUACCACAACUCGUUCCUGCUGGCCGACCGUGCCGAGGCCUGGGUGCUGGAGACCGCAGGUCACCUGUGGGCCGCCAAAAGAAUCACAUGUGGCGUGGCUAACAUCAGCAACUGCCUGACGAUCGGGGUGGAGAUGGACCUGCAGCACCCGGAGCUGCACUCGGAGGCCAUCUCGCGCGGUCUCUGGGACGGCAGCGGCCAGCUCAACUUCAAACAGGUGUUUGGUCGUGACGGUGACGCGGACGGCUGCUCCCGGCUCACCGAGGGCCGCAAGCUCAUGGAGCGGUACGCCGCAGCAGGCGAGUUUGACGUGGAGAACAUGCUGGCGGUGCUGCGUGACGCGCCGUCUGGCAUCUGCCGCGCCUACGAUGAUCCGUUCCACACGGCCGCCAGCCAGGUGUCGGUGCUGCCGCCGAUGGCCUCAGCCCGGCCCGCCUGCCACUGGUUCACGGGCACGCCGGACCCGCAGCGCUCCGUCUUCAAGCCAUUCGUGUUCGUGCCGGGCGCGCGCAUCUCGCCGCACAUCCAGAGUCCGGCAAUCGAGGACGACCCGGCUAAGGCCCAGCCGCGGUUCCAGCGGCCGGUGGAGCGCGCCCACCGCCUGUACCGUCUGCACGGCGAGGCGCUACGCACGCGGCCCGAGCGGCACGAGCAGGUGCGCGGCCUGGAGCAGCGCUGCGUGCCUGAGCUGGACCGCUUCCUGGAGCAGUUCACGGCCGAGCAGGCCGGCGAGCUGCAGGAGCUCUUCAAGGACUGCGUCGAGAGCGAGCUGCAGUUCUACAAGUAGAGCCGGCGCGGCUGGGCGCGGCGACCGCGGGACGGGGAGGGGCGGGACGGAGGCGGAGAUGGAGACGGAAGAUCACCAGGAGCACGCGCACAGGCACGGACUUUAUGGAAAAUGACGUACUUUUGGAACUGUUGCGCCAAGGAUCUCUCGCUGGACCUCCAUCUGUCCCGUAAGUGGUGCUGUCUAAAUUUUGUGUACAUCCCGAUACAGUUCCAGCAUGCAAUUUUCCGGGUACAUAUUCGGAACUGUACGAGGAACCCUGCUA
Molecule: unclassified non-coding RNA, 1686 nt
Filed under: Pollicipes pollicipes
Lineage: Eukaryota; Metazoa; Arthropoda; Thecostraca; Pollicipedomorpha; Pollicipedidae
Description: secernin-2-like, transcript variant X3
Source: RNAcentral